This 374-nucleotide ribosomal RNA is filed under the name uncultured organism. Its description in RNAcentral is "partial 16S ribosomal RNA". It matches the Rfam family "Bacterial small subunit ribosomal RNA", at positions 527 to 897 of the family's 1533-position model. The record is from RNAcentral.
GGAGGGUGCAAGCGUUGUUCGGAAUUACUGGGCGUAAAGCGUGUCUAGGCUGGAGCGUAAGUCAUGUGUGAAAGACCUUGGCUCAACCAAGGAAUUGCGCCUGAAACUGCGUUUCUUGAGUAGUGGAGAGGUGAGUGGAAUUCCUAGUGUAGCAGUGAAAUGCGUUGAUAUUAGGAAGAACACCAGAUGCGAAGGCAGCUCACUGGCCACUUACUGACGCUGAAGCACGAAAGCGUGGGUAGCAAACAGGAUUAGAUACCCUGGUAGUCCCACGCUGUAAACGAUGGAUACUAGGUGUCGGAGGAAUUGACCCCUUCGGUGCCGGCGCUAACGCAUUAAGUAUCCCCGCCUGGGGAGUACGGUCGCAAGAUUAA